RNAcentral lists this ribosomal RNA (427 nucleotides) under uncultured bacterium. RNAcentral's name for it is "bacterial SSU rRNA". It matches the Rfam family "Bacterial small subunit ribosomal RNA", at positions 355 to 775 of the family's 1533-position model. The record is from RNAcentral.
UCGAGAAUUUUUCUCAAUGGGCGAAAGCCUGAAGGAGCGACGCCGCGUGGGGGAUGAAGGGUUUCGAUCCGUAAACCCCUGUCAUUUGCGAACAAAGGUUAUUCAAUAACACUGGAUAAUUUGAUAGUAGUGAAAGAGGAAGGGACGGCUAACUCUGUGCCAGCAGCCGCGGUAAUACAGAGGUCCCGAGCGUUGUUCGGAUUCACUGGGCGUAAAGGGUGCGUAGGUGGUGGUGCAAGUUUGAUGUGAAAUCUCCGGGCUUAACCUGGAAAUGGCAUUGAAUACUGCAUUGCUUGAGGUUUGGAGGGGGGACUGGAAUUCUCGGUGUAGCAGUGAAAUGCGUAGAUAUCGAGAGGAACACCAGUGGCGAAGGCGAGUCCCUGGACAAAACCUGACACUGAGGCACGAAAGCUAGGGGAGCAAACAG